CAACAUCCUAACGAGACCCAAUUACAUGAUACAGUUUGAAAUUUUACUCAGAAAGAGCUGUGAACCUGAUGGAGUUGUCGCUUUUCAUCCUUCUUGGUUGCUGUUGACCAUCUCUCAAGGCAUAUUUCACGAUCCUCAUUAGCAAGCAAGGUGAGCUGGUGCAGUUCUUCAACAAGUGGGUGAGAGGUGCCCAGUCCUGUUGUGAGAAACAAUUCUGCUUCCUCCAGGAUAUGAAGGCCCUCUCGAAACUCCUUCAGAUAAAUCUUUGCCUUUCCAAGGUUGAAGAGGAAGAGGGAGAGUACGGGACUGUUGUCACUGUAGUAGAACCUGUGGGGAGGUCAUUCUUGGUACCCAAAACUUGUACUCCAGUGCAUUAUCUCACUUACAACUAUGAAUGUUAAUUGUACAUAGCAUACAAUAUAUUGUAUAAUUUACUUAUGAACUGAUUAGAUACUGAUUCUUUGAUGGAAAAUUCUUUAGAGCUAUAUAGAUUAAAUUGUUUCUUCCAAAUUUCUAUCUUGAAUUUAAGUCACAAGAAAUAUGGACUGGCAUUACUUGCUCACUUAAUAUGGUUGAUGUGUUAGGGUAGUGAUAUCUAGCUUGGUAAAGACACUGUAUUUACUUCCCCUGAAGCCUAAAACUUAUUACCCUGUGGAUUUAUUAAAUAAAAAGAAAUAUUACA
This is a long non-coding RNA of Scylla paramamosain (green mud crab), 682 nucleotides long. RefSeq lists it as uncharacterized. NCBI's taxonomy places the organism in Eukaryota, Metazoa, Arthropoda, Malacostraca, Decapoda, Portunidae. The transcript is spliced from 2 exons. The record is from RefSeq and is a predicted model, not a curated record.